Molecule: ribosomal RNA, 2927 nt
Filed under: Klebsiella oxytoca
Lineage: Bacteria; Pseudomonadati; Pseudomonadota; Gammaproteobacteria; Enterobacterales; Enterobacteriaceae
Description: 23S ribosomal RNA
Rfam family: Bacterial large subunit ribosomal RNA
Source: RNAcentral
GGGUUGUGAGGUUAAGCGACUAAGCGUACACGGUGGAUGCCCUGGCAGUCAGAGGCGAUGAAGGACGUGCUAAUCUGCGAAAAGCGUCGGUAAGGUGAUAUGAACCGUUAUAACCGGCGAUGUCCGAAUGGGGAAACCCAGUGCAAUUCGUUGCACUAUCGUUUGAUGAAUACAUAGUCAAACGAGGCGAACCGGGGGAACUGAAACAUCUAAGUACCCCGAGGAAAAGAAAUCAACCGAGAUUCCCCCAGUAGCGGCGAGCGAACGGGGAGCAGCCCGGAGUCUGAAUCAGCUUGUGUGUUAGUGGAAGCGUCUGGAAAGUCGCAGGGUACAGGGUGAUACUCCCGUACACUAAAACACACAGGCUGUGAACUCGAAGAGUAGGGCGGGACACGUGGUAUCCUGUCUGAAUAUGGGGGGACCAUCCUCCAAGGCUAAAUACUCCUGACUGACCGAUAGUGAACCAGUACCGUGAGGGAAAGGCGAAAAGAACCCCGGCGAGGGGAGUGAAAAAGAACCUGAAACCGUGUACGUACAAGCAGUAGGAGCCCACUAGUUGGGUGACUGCGUACCUUUUGUAUAAUGGGUCAGCGACUUAUAUUCUGUAGCAAGGUUAACCGAAUAGGGGAGCCGCAGGGAAACCGAGUCUUAACUGGGCGUUAAGUUGCAGGGUAUAGACCCGAAACCCGGUGAUCUAGCCAUGGGCAGGUUGAAGGUUGGGUAACACUAACUGGAGGACCGAACCGACUAAUGUUGAAAAAUUAGCGGAUGACUUGUGGCUGGGGGUGAAAGGCCAAUCAAACCGGGAGAUAGCUGGUUCUCCCCGAAAGCUAUUUAGGUAGCGCCUCGUGAACUCAUCUUCGGGGGUAGAGCACUGUUUCGGCUAGGGGGUCAUCCCGACUUACCAACCCGAUGCAAACUACGAAUACCGAAGAAUGUUAUCACGGGAGACACACGGCGGGUGCUAACGUCCGUCGUGAAGAGGGAAACAACCCAGACCGCCAGCUAAGGUCCCAAAGUCAUGGUUAAGUGGGAAACGAUGUGGGAAGGCCCAGACAGCCAGGAUGUUGGCUUAGAAGCAGCCAUCAUUUAAAGAAAGCGUAAUAGCUCACUGGUCGAGUCGGCCUGCGCGGAAGAUGUAACGGGGCUAAACCAUGCACCGAAGCUGCGGCAGCGACACUAUGUGUUGUUGGGUAGGGGAGCGUUCUGUAAGCCGUUGAAGGUGGCCUGUGAGGGUUGCUGGAGGUAUCAGAAGUGCGAAUGCUGACAUAAGUAACGAUAAUGCGGGUGAAAAACCCGCACGCCGGAAGACCAAGGGUUCCUGUCCAACGUUAAUCGGGGCAGGGUGAGUCGACCCCUAAGGCGAGGCCGAAAGGCGUAGUCGAUGGGAAACAGGUUAAUAUUCCUGUACUUGGUGUUACUGCGAAGGGGGGACGGAGAAGGCUAUGUUGGCCGGGCGACGGUUGUCCCGGUUUAAGCAUGUAGGCGGAUGUUCCAGGUAAAUCCGGAACGUCACUAACGCUGAGGUGUGAUGACGAGGCACUACGGUGCUGAAGUGACAAAUGCCCUGCUUCCAGGAAAAGCCUCUAAGCAUCAGGUAACAUCAAAUCGUACCCCAAACCGACACAGGUGGUCAGGUAGAGAAUACCAAGGCGCUUGAGAGAACUCGGGUGAAGGAACUAGGCAAAAUGGUGCCGUAACUUCGGGAGAAGGCACGCUGAUGGUAAGUGAAGUGACUUGCUCACGGAGCUGAAAUCAGUCGAAGAUACCAGCUGGCUGCAACUGUUUAUUAAAAACACAGCACUGUGCAAACACGAAAGUGGACGUAUACGGUGUGACGCCUGCCCGGUGCCGGAAGGUUAAUUGAUGGGGUUAUCCUCACGGAGAAGCUCUUGAUCGAAGCCCCGGUAAACGGCGGCCGUAACUAUAACGGUCCUAAGGUAGCGAAAUUCCUUGUCGGGUAAGUUCCGACCUGCACGAAUGGCGUAAUGAUGGCCAGGCUGUCUCCACCCGAGACUCAGUGAAAUUGAACUCGCUGUGAAGAUGCAGUGUACCCGCGGCAAGACGGAAAGACCCCGUGAACCUUUACUAUAGCUUGACACUGAACACUGGUCCUUGAUGUGUAGGAUAGGUGGGAGGCUUUGAAGUGUGGACGCCAGUCUGCAUGGAGCCAUCCUUGAAAUACCACCCUUUAAUGGCUGGUGUUCUAACGUGGGCCCGUGAUCCGGGUUGCGGACAGUGUCUGGUGGGUAGUUUGACUGGGGCGGUCUCCUCCUAAAGAGUAACGGAGGAGCACGAAGGUCAGCUAAUCCUGGUCGGACAUCAGGAGGUUAGUGCAAUGGCAUAAGCUGGCUUGACUGCGAGCGUGACGGCGCGAGCAGGUGCGAAAGCAGGUCAUAGUGAUCCGGUGGUUCUGAAUGGAAGGGCCAUCGCUCAACGGAUAAAAGGUACUCCGGGGAUAACAGGCUGAUACCGCCCAAGAGUUCAUAUCGACGGCGGUGUUUGGCACCUCGAUGUCGGCUCAUCACAUCCUGGGGCUGAAGUAGGUCCCAAGGGUAUGGCUGUUCGCCAUUUAAAGUGGUACGCGAGCUGGGUUUAGAACGUCGUGAGACAGUUCGGUCCCUAUCUGCCGUGGGCGCUGGAGAAUUGAGGGGGGCUGCUCCUAGUACGAGAGGACCGGAGUGGACGCAUCACUGGUGUUCGGGUUGUCAUGCCAAUGGCAUUGCCCGGUAGCUAAAUGCGGAAGAGAUAAGUGCUGAAAGCAUCUAAGCACGAAACUUGCCCCGAGAUGAGUUCUCCCUGACUCCUUGAGAGUCCUGAAGGAACGUUGAAGACGACGACGUUGAUAGGCCGGGUGUGUAAGCGCAGCGAUGCGUUGAGCUAACCGGUACUAAUGAACCGUGAGGCUUAACCUUACAACGCCGAAG